This 499-nucleotide ribosomal RNA is filed under the name uncultured bacterium. Its description in RNAcentral is "partial 16S ribosomal RNA". It matches the Rfam family "Bacterial small subunit ribosomal RNA", at positions 29 to 523 of the family's 1533-position model. The record is from RNAcentral.
AUUGAACGCUGGCGGCAUGCCUUACACAUGCAAGUCGAACGCGAAAGGGGGGCAACCCCUGAGUAGAGUGGCGCACGGGUGAGUAAUGCAUCGGAACGUGUCCUGUAGCGGGGGAUAACCUAGCGAAAGCUAGGCUAAUACCGCAUACGCCCUAAGGGGGAAAGUGGGGGAUCGUAAGACCUCACACUAUAGGAGCGGCCGAUGCCGGAUUAGCUAGUUGGUGGGGUAAAAGCUCACCAAGGCGACGAUCCGUAGCUGGUCUGAGAGGAUGAUCAGCCACACUGGGACUAAGACACGGCCCAGACUCCUAGGGGAGGCAGCAGUGGGGAAUUUUGGACAAUGGGGGAAACCCUGAUCCAGCCAGGCCGCGUGAGUGAAGACGGCCUUCGGGUUGUAAAGCUCUUUCGGCCGGGACGAAAUCGCACGCGUGAAUAUCGUGUGCGGAUGACGGUACCGGCAGAAGAAGGACCGGCUAACUACGUGCCAGCAGCCGCCGUAA